AUGAGGAAGCUCUUCUUCUCCGAGUUGACCUCCUGCAAGGAGACCAAGCUCCAGUCCGCCACCCACUCAUGGCUGCCCAUGGACAAAGGCAAGCUCUCCAAGUUCACUGGCCACUCCAGCUCCUCCUCCUCGAUAGAAUCUCUGAUGAAAAUGCCGGAGCCGCCGGUCCUCCCGCACUUCAAGCCCGCUGACUACGUCGACAUAUUGGCUCAGAUUCACGAGGAGCUGGAAUACUGCCCUCCCGACGAGAAGUCGUGCCUGUACCUGCUCCAGUUCCAGGUCUUCCGCGGGCUUGGUGAGGCCAAGCUGUCGCGAAGGAGCCUCCAGGCUGCGUGGGAGAAGGCGAGCACGAUACACGAGAAGCUCAUAUUUGGGGCAUGGCUCAAGUACGAGAAGAGAGGGGAGGAGCCCAUAUCUGACCUUCUUGGCUCGUGCGGCAAGUGCUCUCAAGAGUUCAAGCUGCUGGAUUUCGUCUCGCAGAUCUCCGCCGAUUCGCUCGGGAUAAGCUAUGACGACGAAUCUGAUGAGUUCCAGGGCUCCCCGGUGGUUCAUUUCCGGAUAAGAGAUGACAUGAUUGCCUGCGAUAGGCGGAAGCUUGCGGCCUUGUCAACUCCACUGUAUGCGAUGCUUAAUGGUGGGUUUAAGGAAUCACAUCUUGAGGUCAUUGACAUGUCUCGGAACGGCAUCUCGCCUAUUGGUAUGCGGGCCAUCAGUAAAUUCAGCCUGUCAGGAAGACUACCGUAUUUGUCAGCAGAAUCUAUUUUGGAGAUGCUUGAUUUUGCUAACAAAUUCUGCUGUAAGGGCCUCAAGGAUGCUUGCGAGCAAAAGCUUGCUUCUUUUGUUUCUUCCAGGCAAGAUGCCAUAGAUUACAUGGAGUGUGCUAUUGAGCUGGGCUGUUCCAUACUUGCCGCGUCAUGCUUGCAGGUGCUCCUGAAUGAGCUUCCAGAAUGCUUGAAUGAUGAGCAAGUGGUUAGGAUAUUCUCCUCUGCGAAUAAGCAGCAGAGAUCCACUAUGGCUGGCAAUGCAUCCUUCUCCCUAUAUUGCCUUCUUGGUGAAGUCUCCAUGAGCAUCAGUGCAACAUCAGAUGUCACUGUAAGCUUCUUGGAGAAGCUGGUUGACUCGGCAUCAGAUUCUAGACAGAAGCAGUUGUCCUUGCAUCAGCUGGCUUGCGUGAGGCUGCUAAGGAAAGAUCAUGCUGAAGCGGAGCGCCUGUUCAAUGCUGCCUUUACCGCUGGUCAUGUCUACUCGGUAGUGGGCUUGGCUAGAUUGGCCUCUCUGAGGAGCAAUAAGCAUUAUUCUCUCAACUUGCUUGACUCUGUCAUGUCAUCUCGUUGGCCUCUUGGGUGGAUGUAUCAAGAGAGAGCCCUAUAUCUGGACGGUGAUAGCAAGUUGGAGAAUCUCAAUAAGGCUACUGAACUGGAUCCGACGCUUACAUACCCCUAUAUGUUUCGAGCUGCAUCGUUGAUGAAAAGGCAAAGUGUUGAAGCUGCCCUGAUGGAGAUUAACCGGAUCCUGGGGUUCAAGCUGGUCCUGGAAUGCUUAGAGCUAAGGUUCUGUUGCUACCUUGCUCUAGAGGACUACAGAGCUGCCUUAUGCGAUGUACAGGCAAUCCUCACGCUUGCUCCAGAUUAUCGUAUGAUUGGUGGUCGGGUGGCUGCGAAGCAGCUACGUACACUUGUGAUGGAGAAUGUAGAGCAAUGGACGACUGCUGAUUGCUGGAUGCAGCUUUAUGAUCGGUGGUCCUCUGUGGAUGAUAUUGGAUCCCUCUCGGUCAUAUAUCAAAUGCUGGAGUCAGAUGCUGCUAAGGGAGUACUGUACUUCAGACAGUCUUUGCUACUUCUCAGAUUAAAUUGUCCUGAGGCAGCAAUGCGCAGCUUGCAGCUUGCUCGCGAGCAUGCGGCAAGCCAACAUGAACGGCUUGUUUACGAAGGAUGGAUACUGUAUGAUACUGGCCACUGCGAGGAAGGAUUGCAGAAAGCGGAAGCAUCGAUUGCCAUACAGAGAUCAUUUGAGGCAUUCUUUCUAAAAGCUUAUGCUUUAGCUGAUUCGAGUCUUGAGCCGUCAACCUCGGCAACAGUCGUAUCGCUUCUUGAAGAUGCAUUACGGUGUCCCUCAGAUAGACUUAGGAAGGGCCAGGCUUUGAAUAACCUUGGGAGUGUUUAUGUGGAUUGCGGUAAUCUAGACUUGGCAGCUGAAUGCUACAUCAACGCCUUAAAGAUUGGCCACACCAGAGCUCAUCAAGGCCUCGCCAGGGUUCAUUUCCUUAGGAAUAACAGGACCGGUGCGUUCGAGGAAAUGACCAAGCUGAUAGAGAAGGCCAGGAGCAAUGCAUCAGCAUACGAGAAGAGGUCUGAGUAUUGUGACCGGGAUCUAACUAAAGCUGAUCUGCAGAUGGUCACCAAACUUGACCCCCUCCGGGUCUACCCCUACAGAUACCGUGCUGCUGUUCUGAUGGACAACCACAAGGAGAAAGAUGCCAUCUCAGAGCUGACUAAGGCAAUUGCCUUUAAGGCGGACCUGAACCUGCUCCAUCUGCGUGCGGCCUUCCAUGAGCACGUGGGUGACAUCUCAGGCGCCCUCCGGGACUGCCGCGCAGCACUUUCCGUGGACCCCAACCACCAGGAGAUGCUCGAGCUUCAUCACCGGGUGAACAGCCAAGAACCCUGA
This 2667-nucleotide ribosomal RNA is filed under the name Triticum aestivum (bread wheat). Its description in RNAcentral is "partial small subunit ribosomal RNA". Lineage: Eukaryota; Viridiplantae; Streptophyta; Magnoliopsida; Poales; Poaceae. The record is from RNAcentral.